CGGACGGGUGAGUAACGCGUGGGGAACCUGCCCUGUACCGGGGGAUAGCAGCCGGAAACGGCUGAUAAUACCGCAUAAGCGCACGAAUGUCGCAUGACAUGGUGUGAAAAACUCCGGUGGUAUAGGAUGGACCCGCGUCUGAUUAGCCAGUUGGUGGGGUAAAAGCCUACCAAAGCGAAGAUCAGUAGCCGAGUUGAGAGACUGACCGGCCACAUUGGGACUGAGACACGGCCCAGACUCCUACGGGAGGCAGCAGAC
This 258-nucleotide ribosomal RNA is filed under the name uncultured bacterium. Its description in RNAcentral is "partial 16S ribosomal RNA". It matches the Rfam family "Bacterial small subunit ribosomal RNA", at positions 99 to 354 of the family's 1533-position model. The record is from RNAcentral.